RNAcentral lists this ribosomal RNA (301 nucleotides) under uncultured bacterium. Its description in RNAcentral is "partial 16S ribosomal RNA". It matches the Rfam family "Bacterial small subunit ribosomal RNA", at positions 509 to 809 of the family's 1533-position model. The record is from RNAcentral.
CAGUAGCCGCGGGAAUACGGAGGGAGCUAGCGUUGUUCGGAAUUACUGGGCGUAAGGCGCACGUAGGCGGUUAUUCAAGUCAGAGGUGAAAGCCCGGGGCUCAACCCCGGAACUGCCUUUGAAACUAGAUGACUAGAAUCUUGGAGAGGUCAGUGGAAUUCCGAGUGUAGAGGUGAAAUUCGUAGAUAUUCGGAAGAACACCAGUGGCGAAGGCGACUGACUGGACAAGUAUUGACGCUGAGGUGCGAAAGCGUGGGGAGCAAACAGGAUUAGAUACCCCUGUAGUCCCUGUCUCUUAUAA